AGGGAAUAUUGCGCAAUGGGCGAAAGCCUGACGCAGCGACGCCGCGUGAGUGAUGAAGGCCUUAGGGUCGUAAAGCUCUGUUGUACGGGAAAAAGCAAGUGAUGGUACCGUAAAAGAAAGGACCGGCUAACUUCGUGCCAGCAGCCGCGGUAAGACGAGGGGUCCUAGCGUUGUUCGGAAUUAUUGGGCGUAAAGCGUGUGUAGGCGGCUAUGUAAGUCAGGUGUGAAAUCCCCGGGCUCAACCCGGGAAGUGCAUUUGAUACUGCGUAGCUUGAGUAUUGGAGAGGGUAGUGGAAUUCCUGGUGUGGUGGUGAAAUACGUAGAUAUCAGGAGGAACACCGGUGGCGAAGGCGGCUACCUGGCCAAAUACUGACGCUGAGACACGAAAGCGUGGGGAGCAAAC
Molecule: ribosomal RNA, 403 nt
Filed under: uncultured bacterium
Lineage: Bacteria
Description: bacterial SSU rRNA
Rfam family: Bacterial small subunit ribosomal RNA
Source: RNAcentral